RNAcentral lists this ribosomal RNA (449 nucleotides) under Pseudoramibacter alactolyticus. RNAcentral describes it as "bacterial SSU rRNA". It matches the Rfam family "Bacterial small subunit ribosomal RNA", at positions 28 to 479 of the family's 1533-position model. The record is from RNAcentral. Lineage: Bacteria; Bacillati; Bacillota; Clostridia; Eubacteriales; Eubacteriaceae.
GACGAACGCUGGCGGUAUGCUUAACACAUGCAAGUCGAACGAGAAGUUUUUUAUUGAACCUUCGGGGGAUAUAAGAGACAGACAGUGGCGAACGGGUGAGUAACGCGUGGGCAACCUACCUAUCGGAGCGGGAUAGCCUCGAGAAAUCGGGAGUAAAACCGCAUAACAGGAUAUAUCGCAUGAUGAAUCCGUCAAAACUCCGGUGCCGAUAGAUGGGCCCGCGUCUGAUUAGCUAGUGGUAAGGUAAGGGCUUACCAAGGCAACGAUUAGUAGCCGGUCUGAGAGGGCGAACGGCCACACUGGAACUGAGACACGGUCCAGACUCCUACGGGAGGCAGCAGUGGGGAAUAUUGCGCAAUGGGGGCAACCCUGACGGAGCAAUACCGCGUGAGUGAAGAAGGUUUUCGGAUCGUAAAGCUCUGUUAUUGGGGAAGAAGCAGGACGGUACC